RNAcentral lists this ribosomal RNA (464 nucleotides) under uncultured bacterium. RNAcentral's name for it is "partial 16S ribosomal RNA". It matches the Rfam family "Bacterial small subunit ribosomal RNA", at positions 28 to 506 of the family's 1533-position model. The record is from RNAcentral.
GACGAACGCUGGCGGCGUGCUUAACACAUGCAAGUCGAACGGAAAGGCCCUGCUUGCAGGGUACUCGAGUGGCGAACGGGUGAGUAACACGUGGGUGAUCUGCCCUGCACUUCGGGAUAAGCCUGGGAAACUGGGUCUAAUACCGGAUAGGAGCCAUUUUUAGUGUGAUGGUUGGGAAGUUUUUUCGGUGUAGGAUGAGCUCGCGGCCUAUCAGCUUGUUGGUGGGGUAAUGGCCUACCAAGGCGGCGACGGGUAGCCGGCCUGAGAGGGUGGACGGCCACAUGGGGACUGAGAUACGGCCCAGACUCCUACGGGGGGCAGAAGGGGGGAAUAUUGCACAAGGGGCGCAAGCCUGAUGCAGCGACGCCGCGUGGGGGAUGACGGCCUUCGGGUUGUAAACCCCUUUCGCUAGGGACGAAGCUUUUUGGGACGGUACCUAGAUAAGAAGCACCGGCGAACUACGU